UACGCAGGCGGCUUUGCAAGACAGGUGUGAAAUCCCCGGGCCUAACCUGGGAACUGCAUUUGUGACUGCAUGGCUAGAGUUUGUCAGAGGGGGGUGGGAAUUCCACGUGUAGCAGUGAAAUGCGUAGAGAUGUGGAAGAACACCGAUGGCGAAGGCAGCCCCCUGGGAUGUGACUGACGCUCAUGUACGAAAGCGUGGGGAGCAAACA
Molecule: ribosomal RNA, 208 nt
Filed under: uncultured bacterium
Lineage: Bacteria
Description: partial 16S ribosomal RNA
Rfam family: Bacterial small subunit ribosomal RNA
Source: RNAcentral